UAGGGUUACAGGUCUUUUAGAAUUUGUCUAGCAGGUUUUCUGGUCCUUACCAAAAGACCCCU
This 62-nucleotide small nuclear RNA is filed under the name Microcebus murinus (gray mouse lemur). RNAcentral's name for it is "U7 small nuclear RNA (ENSMICG00000042250.1)". It matches the Rfam family "U7 small nuclear RNA". From Rfam's summary of the family: Animal histone pre-mRNAs are spliced by a different mechanism than nuclear pre-mRNAs and self-splicing introns. Lineage: Eukaryota; Metazoa; Chordata; Mammalia; Primates; Cheirogaleidae. The record is from Rfam by way of RNAcentral.